Phasianus colchicus (ring-necked pheasant) is the source of this 750-nucleotide non-coding RNA. The record is from RefSeq and is a predicted model, not a curated record. Lineage: Eukaryota; Metazoa; Chordata; Aves; Galliformes; Phasianidae.
CAUUGGCUCAACUCCCGACCAAUCGCAGCGCGGCGAGAACUUCGGCGGGAAGGUCGCGCGGGUGGUGCCGGUGGCCGCUGAGGAAUAUGCUCUUAACCUUUCCUGCUGCUUUGUGAUGCUUUAUACUGUGCCUGGCCCAUGCUAGAGCUGUGGCAGUGAGAAAGAGACUCCUCAGCAGGCAAGCCUAAGGUGUAAGCAGAAGUCGUGACUGGGAGCCUGCAAGUGGGAGGACGUCAGCUGCGGAAAGUGCUUUUCAGCUGGCUGAGCCGACCAGAGCACAGAAGUCAAAGGAAAGCCAUGGAGCCAGGACAAAGCUAAAUUAAAAAAUUCCAAGACGCUGAUAUCAGAGGACUUCCUCUUGUGACCAGGCAGCUCAUCAGCAGGAGUUAUCUUGCACGUUGCUUGCAUCUACCAUGGAAGGGAAGGCUUAAGAGGUGAACGCUGGUACCCAAGCCUAGGAAAAGCACCAAAGGUGAAGAGAGGAACAUACUACUUAGUGCAGACAUCUGACAGAUGGGACGUUUCACCCCCCUGGUGCCACACUUCCCUUCCUGCAGGGGGAGGACAACAACCUGUUGGGAUUCCCACAGGAAAGGGGCUGCGGAAGCGCCUUGUUAUCCUGAUGUAGAACAAUGCAGACCAUCUCUGAACUGCCCACGCUGGGCCUGGAGACGGCAGCUCCCUCUUCCUCCUGCCCUGUGCUGCUGAGGAGCAUUCCUCUGUCUGAUAAACAAGUUGUCUUGCUCUGUU